CAAAGCCGCGAGGUGGAGCGAAUCUCCAAAAAUUAGUCCCAGUUCAGAUUGCAGGCUGCAACUCGCCUGCAUGAAGUCGGAAUUGCUAGUAAUCGUGGAUCAGCAUGCCACGGUGAAUACGUUCCCGGGCCUUGUACACACCGCCCGUCACACCAUGGGAGUCGGUAACACCCGAAGCCUGUAGUCUAACCGCAAGGAGGACGCAGUCGAAGGUGGGAUUGAUGACUGGGGUGAAGUCGUAACAAGGUACC
RNAcentral lists this ribosomal RNA (251 nucleotides) under uncultured bacterium. Its description in RNAcentral is "partial 16S ribosomal RNA". It matches the Rfam family "Bacterial small subunit ribosomal RNA", at positions 1250 to 1500 of the family's 1533-position model. The record is from RNAcentral.